UGGAGUCACAAGAGUUAGUGAAAGGGCAGCAAAAAAAAGGAAUGUAUUUUCUCUCAUCUUCCUCCCUUGUCUGACUGAACUCCCUAGAGAUGUGUAUACCAUGAAAUGAACUACAUCAGCCUCCACCUUCUCAAUUCCAGUUGCUGCUCCUAUAUUUUUGCUGCAUGGCCACCAAAAAUAACAAGGUAUUUGGAAAAAUAUGCACGAUUCAUGACAAUCUCCUCUUUAAGGUUUCAAAAGACGUUAAUUACUUACGUUUACAUAUUCUUGAGGAUUCCUUUUGUCCAGUUCCAGGAAAGUCCAGCAGUCAUUCUUACUGCUUGCUCCAGCAUGAAGUAGGGAAAGGGGCUGAUUGCAGCCUUCCAGGAGGAGCCAGAAGGUCCUCUCCUCAUUCUCCUUCAACACCUGGCAUUGUGCCCCCCUCCACAAACAUUUCUCUAGGAAUGUCUUAAAACCACUCUGCUUUCAAACCUGGCCUGGGAUGAAAAGGAUAUAAUUCUGAAGUUCUGACUCUUGUAAAAUGCUUCAUAAUGCUUCUGAGGCCAUAAGCUGUAGCUGUGAUCACACUGAAAUACUUGUGUACCAGUCACCAAGGUAAGAAGGACAACAGUGUUCAAAGAAAGACCACGACUGAUACAAAAAAAAUGUGAACUCUAUAAAUUCUAGUGAGGAGAUUUAUUUAAAAAAAAAAUGGCAUCAAUCCCCAUACUUGGAAGUAAAAGGCCACUUCUAAUUAGAAAGUUUAGGAUGAAAUUCCUGCGAUGGUAGGGAAUCACACUUCUGAGGCAUCUGAUAACAGAUAAUGUUAGAGACAGAGAUGAUAAAUUAACUGUAUCUCAGAGCAGACUGAGGAUAGAUAUCCUUUGUUCCCAGUUUCAAAACAAAGGAGAUGUCCACCAGCAGAAAGCAUGGAAGAUUUAUUGUAUGAGAUCAAGGGCUUACUUUGCCUGGUGCUGCUUCAGCCAGAGGCCAACAGGAAAGUCUUUAAGAAAGGAAGGAUGCAGCCUUUUUCUUGUAAGUGCUAGGAUGUUCAGAGGGAAAUAGUCACCCUUGCUAGGCAUAGGCAUCUAAUUUACACUUCCAAGUUUGGAGGAAUUCUCCCCAUGAUUCUGGAGCCCCAAGAGAGGCCUCCUCUGCUCAUGGGUACCAGGUUGUACCUAAGUACAGCAGUGUUCUUACCAUGAGAUCAUAGAAUCACAGAAACAUUUGCAUUGGAAGGACCCUUAACAGUCACCUCGUCCAACUCCCCUGCAGUGAACAGGGACACCUGCAGCUAGAUCAGGUUGGUCAGAGACCCAUCCAGCCUGACCUUGAAUGUCUUGAAGGCGUGGGGCAUCCACCAACUCUCUGGGCAAUGUUUACCUCACACUCAAAGUUUUGAUAUACUCCCUUAGGGAUAUUUAUAUGACAACACCCUGACUCUGACAUGAAACCCCUGGGCACCAUCAUACACAGAAAAUACCAUGGAUCUCUGCUAAAA
Molecule: long non-coding RNA, 1480 nt
Filed under: Numida meleagris (helmeted guineafowl)
Lineage: Eukaryota; Metazoa; Chordata; Aves; Galliformes; Numididae
Description: lncRNA (ENSNMEG00000006089.1)
Source: RNAcentral